UCUAGCCUGCCCAGUGACUCUGUUCAACGGCCGCGGUAUCCUAACCGUGCGAAGGUAGCGUAAUCAUUUGUUCUUUAAAUGAGGACUAGUAUGAAAGGCAUCACGAGGAUUUCACUGUCUCCUUUUCUUAAUCAGUGAAAUUAAUCUUCCCGUGAAGAAGCGGGAAUACUACUACAAGACGAGAAGACCCUAUGGAGCUUUAAACUAAUAACACUUGCCUUUCAUUAAUUACUUCCAGAAAAUUAUUAUUUAUUCUGGCAUUAUGAUUUUUAGUUUUAGGUUGGGGUGACCGCGGAGAAAAGAAUAUCCUCCACAUUGAAAAGAAAACUUCUUUAACUAAAAAUUACCACUUUAAGUAUCAAUAAAUUGACAUUUUUGACCCAAUAUUUUGAUCAACGAACCAAGUUACCCUAGGGAUAACAGCGCAAUCCACUUUGAGAGCCCCUAUCGACAAGUGGGUUUACGACCUCGAUGUUGGAUCAGGGUAUCCCAGUGGCGCAGCCGCUACUAAAGGUUCGNNUGUUCAACGAUU
This 532-nucleotide ribosomal RNA is filed under the name Litoria sp. 3 MC-2009. RNAcentral describes it as "partial 16S large subunit ribosomal RNA". It matches the Rfam family "Bacterial large subunit ribosomal RNA", at positions 1853 to 2589 of the family's 2925-position model. Lineage: Eukaryota; Metazoa; Chordata; Amphibia; Anura; Pelodryadidae. The record is from RNAcentral.